AAAAAGUUUUAUAAUCAGUUCAAUCUGCAAGAGUCUUAAUAUGUGUUGAGUUGCCCCAUCAAAAUUUGUCUUUAUGUACACAUGAUUGAAAUUCAGGAUUUAUAAAUACUUUCCCUAUUCCAAUAGUUAAAAUACCUAUUUAUGCCGAAGGAUCCUUGUAAGAGAUACGCGUGUGAGAUCCAGAGAUGCCUUGUUGAAAACGACUUCCAGGAGGUUCGUUGCGCGCGCGUCUUCGAAAGCAUGCGCCAGUGCUGCAUCAAGUAUAAACCGUUGGAUGCAUCGCUGGUGUGCUCUGGAUACAGCUUGGAGCCUCGCAAAUUCUCGGCCGUCACGGACAGGCCGCAUAAGUCAGAAAAAUAGCUAUGGACAAUCGUCAUCGUAG
Molecule: long non-coding RNA, 382 nt
Organism: Trichoplusia ni (cabbage looper)
Lineage: Eukaryota; Metazoa; Arthropoda; Insecta; Lepidoptera; Noctuidae
Exons: 3
Source: RefSeq, a predicted model, not a curated record